UGGGCUGUAGCUCAGCUGGCAGAGUGCUUGCCUGGAGAGCAUGGAGGCCUGGGUUCUAUCCCAGCAAAGCAU
This 72-nucleotide transfer RNA is filed under the name Neotoma lepida (desert woodrat). It matches the Rfam family "tRNA". Rfam says of the family: Transfer RNA (tRNA) molecules are approximately 80 nucleotides in length. Their secondary structure includes four short double-helical elements and three loops (D, anti-codon, and T loops). Lineage: Eukaryota; Metazoa; Chordata; Mammalia; Rodentia; Cricetidae. The record is from Rfam by way of RNAcentral.